RNAcentral lists this ribosomal RNA (152 nucleotides) under uncultured Alphaproteobacteria bacterium. Its description in RNAcentral is "partial 16S ribosomal RNA". It matches the Rfam family "Bacterial small subunit ribosomal RNA", at positions 335 to 504 of the family's 1533-position model. Lineage: Bacteria; Pseudomonadati; Pseudomonadota; Alphaproteobacteria. The record is from RNAcentral.
ACUCCUACGGGAGGCAGCAGUGGGGAAUCUUAGACAAUGGGCGCAAGCCUGAUCUAGCCAUGCCGCGUGAGUGACGAAGGCCUUAGGGUCGUAAAGCUCUUUCGCCAGAGAUGAUAAUGACAGUANCUGGUAAAGAAACCCCGGCUAACUCC